Long non-coding RNA from Amphiprion ocellaris (clown anemonefish), 668 nucleotides. The record is from Ensembl. NCBI's taxonomy places the organism in Eukaryota, Metazoa, Chordata, Actinopteri, Pomacentridae.
CAGACCGUAGAUACAUGGUCGGCACGUCUGGUAGCGUCUCUGGCUGCUGUUGAGCUUGUUUUUGGAGUAAAACACGUGGAAGCUGAAUUAGUGAGGAUGACUCCUGCUCCUGUCAUCUCUAAGCUCCUCACACAUCUUUACCUGCACAUGAGGAAAAUCACUCCUGUAGAACGCAGAUGUUCAGAGGGAGACGAUGCCACAUCUGGUCCAGCUGAUGGAAGGUCUUGAAGUUCUCUGACUGGCCUCGACUGAAGAUGGUCGUCUCACUGGAUUUAAGAUGCACAAUGAGGGACGUCUGCAGAGACUGAGAAAGAGUCUCACCACAUCCUUACAUGAGGAAAAAGACUUUAUUGAAGACUACAAUGAGAAAAACUAUCCAGACAGCAGACGGCUGCAUUCAAGUCUGUAGCUGCUGAAUUCAUGGAUGAAUCAUCUGGCACUAGAGAGGAAGACCAUCAAACAUCCAUGUCAGCUGAUGGAGGUCCAAGAGUCUCACCAAGCAAACAACCUACAGAGUGAAGACCUCAAAUCUGAUUGGACGGCCUCCUAUUCAGCCACAUGCUACAGGAGGAGCCCUACGAGGACGAGCCGGUCCACCUGAUGGCGGCCAGUCGCUGCGGUUCAAAGCCAACACCGACUACGUGGACUUCUACUGGACCACACGGAGG